UGAAUAUACGGUGACACCUCAGGAAUGCUGCAGACUCCCAUGCACAGUGGAGAAGCCAACCUUGGACAGCUGAGUGUGCA
Molecule: small nucleolar RNA, 80 nt
Organism: Microcebus murinus (gray mouse lemur)
Lineage: Eukaryota; Metazoa; Chordata; Mammalia; Primates; Cheirogaleidae
Source: Ensembl